This 1284-nucleotide long non-coding RNA is filed under the name Anser brachyrhynchus (Pink-footed goose). Its description in RNAcentral is "lncRNA (ENSABRG00000021183.1)". Lineage: Eukaryota; Metazoa; Chordata; Aves; Anseriformes; Anatidae. The record is from RNAcentral.
AUGGCACCAGGAGCCACAACCGAGUCCCAACACGACACCCGACGCCCUCCACCCAGCCUCGCGUCCCAGCCUCACCGAACCACGCAGCCCCUCCAGGCGCUGCUCGCCCCCCGGGGGACUCCCCAGCCACCUCCAGACCCCCGGCCGGGGGUGCAGGGGCACUGGGGGGGGCCGAGGCCGGCCGGGGGCCCUCGGGUCCGGCGCCAGGAGCCCGCCGGGGCCUGCCCCGCUGGCUCGGCCGGGAGCGGGGGGGCCGCAGGCGGCGCUGCGCGGCCCUUCCCCGCCGCAGCCGUGCCCGGCGCGGGGAACGCGCCCCCUGCCGCCGCCCGCCCUCAUCUCCGGCGGGGCUGCGCUGCAUUUUGGGUGGGGGCUGGUAUUUUUUUAUUUAUUUAUUAUUUUUUUUCCUCUCCUCUCCCCGGCCACGCUCAGAAACCGGGAGCCACGAUCCCGGAUCGAACGGAGAGGGAGCUGGGUGGAAAGAAAAAGAAUUAUGAAAAAAAAAUAAAAGGAGGGGGGCAGGCUGAGGCUCAGCAUCACCCACACCGCGGUACUUGUUUGGGAAACCUUCCCCUCCCUCCCCCGCCCCCGGGCUGCGAUCGCCGAGCGCAGGGAAGGGGGAGCAGCCCCGGGGUGCGGAGCGGGGCGUUCGGCCUCCGCUGUUCCCCCCCUGCCUUUGUCUGGGAGCCGGGGGUCGGCGGCCGGAGCCCGCGGCGGGGCCGGGCAGGGCCGAGCCAGGCGGCGCCGCCGCCGCUGCUGGUGCUGGGCUGCAUCCCGCGGCUGGGGCUCGGCGCGGGGCAGCGGCUCCGGCUCCUCCCGGCGGGCUGGGGGCCGCUGCCCGCCUGGCUCCGGCCCCAACUCCGCCACCGGGGCCCUACAGCAGCGGCGGGAUGCUGGCUCCGGGACGGGUCCCCUGAGCGGCCGGAGGGAAGGGAAGCGAAAGAGGGAGGGAAGGGGAGGAGGAGGAGGGAAGGAAGGCGGCGGCGCAGCGGUCCCCGCCGCCCGCUGGGGCGGCCUCAGCGCUUCAACGGGUGUGCGGCCGGGCACGGCGGAGGGAAGGGAAGGGAAGGGAAGGGAAGGGGCCCGCCCGCCCCCCUCGCAGCCCCCCAGCCGACCACCCCGGGGCCGGGUCCCGCCGGGGGGGGGCCAGGCCAUGUCCUGAGGCGGGCGGGGGCCGCCCGCAGCCGGGCCGUGCCGCGGAGCCGCGCACACACCUACCUGCCCGGGGCUCUCUGUCCUCGGCAGCGAGGGCGGGCGCUCCCCCGGCACCUCAGCCUCGGGGGUGUG